RNAcentral lists this non-coding RNA (45 nucleotides) under Schistosoma mansoni. The record is from RNAcentral. Lineage: Eukaryota; Metazoa; Platyhelminthes; Trematoda; Strigeidida; Schistosomatidae.
AUCCAGCUGACUAGUCGCAAAUAAGACGAAACGCGAGUCCUGGAU